UACGUAGGCAGCAAGCGUUGUUCGGAGUUACUGGGCGUAAAGAGUCUGUAGGCGGUGCUCUAAGUUUGGUGUGAAAUCUCCCGGCUUAACCGGGAGGGUGCGCCGAAGACUGGGGUGCUGGGAGUACGGGAGAGGAAAGCGGAAUUCCUGGUGUAGCGGUGAAAUGCGUAGAUAUCAGGAGGAACACCGGUGGUGUAGACGGCUUUCUGGACCGUGACUGACGCUGAGAGACGAAAGCGUGGGGAGCAAACAGG
RNAcentral lists this ribosomal RNA (254 nucleotides) under uncultured bacterium. RNAcentral's name for it is "partial 16S ribosomal RNA". It matches the Rfam family "Bacterial small subunit ribosomal RNA", at positions 524 to 776 of the family's 1533-position model. The record is from RNAcentral.